AUGCUCAAGUUGGAACACCGGUUUUCAUACGAUCUCCGAUGUUAAGCAACGUCGAGCCUGGUCAGUAACUAGAUGGGUGACCGUUUGAGAAAUUCCAGGUGCU
Acanthosepion pharaonis is the source of this 103-nucleotide non-coding RNA. NCBI's taxonomy places the organism in Eukaryota, Metazoa, Mollusca, Cephalopoda, Sepiida, Sepiidae. The record is from the annotation of a GenBank genome assembly.